This 63-nucleotide transfer RNA is filed under the name Crotalus ravus (Mexican pygmy rattlesnake). RNAcentral's name for it is "tRNA-Val". The record is from RNAcentral. Lineage: Eukaryota; Metazoa; Chordata; Lepidosauria; Squamata; Viperidae.
CAAAAGAGUACUUAAAUAAAGCACUCGACUUACACUCGAACGAUAUUCUAUUAAUCUUUUUGA